This 1168-nucleotide ribosomal RNA is filed under the name uncultured Arthrobacter sp. RNAcentral's name for it is "bacterial SSU rRNA". It matches the Rfam family "Bacterial small subunit ribosomal RNA", at positions 264 to 1431 of the family's 1533-position model. The record is from RNAcentral. Lineage: Bacteria; Bacillati; Actinomycetota; Actinomycetes; Micrococcales; Micrococcaceae.
CUCACCAAGGCGACGACGGGUAGCCGGCCUGAGAGGGUGACCGGCCACACUGGGACUGAGACACGGCCCAGACUCCUACGGGAGGCAGCAGUGGGGAAUAUUGCACAAUGGGCGAAAGCCUGAUGCAGCGACGCCGCGUGAGGGAUGACGGCCUUCGGGUUGUAAACCUCUUUCAGUAGGGAACAAGGCCAGUGUUUAGCUGGUUGAGGGUACUUGCAGAAGAAGCGCCGGCUAACUACGUGCCAGCAGCCGCGGUAAUACGUAGGGCGCAAGCGUUAUCCGGAAUUAUUGGGCGUAAAGAGCUCGUAGGCGGUUUGUCGCGUCUGCCGUGAAAGUCCGGGGCUCAACUCCGGAUCUGCGGUGGGUACGGGCAGACUAGAGUGAUGUAGGGGAGACUGGGAUUCCUGGUGUAGCGGUGAAAUGCGCAGAUAUCAGGAGGAACACCGAUGGCGAAGGCAGGUCUCUGGGCAUUAACUGACGCUGAGGAGCGAAAGCAUGGGGAGCGAACAGGAUUAGAUACCCUGGUAGUCCAUGCCGUAAACGUUGGGCACUAGGUGUGGGGGACAUUCCACGUUUUCCGCGCCGUAGCUAACGCAUUAAGUGCCCCGCCUGGGGAGUACGGCCGCAAGGCUAAAACUCAAAGGAAUUGACGGGGGCCCGCACAAGCGGCGGAGCAUGCGGAUUAAUUCGAUGCAACGCGAAGAACCUUACCAAGGCUUGACAUGAACUGGAAAUACCUGGAAACAGGUGCCCCGCUUGCGGUCGGUUUACAGGUGGUGCAUGGUUGUCGUCAGCCCGUGUCGUGAGAUGUUGGGUUAAGUCCCGCAACGAGCGCAACCCUCGUUCUAUGUUGCCAGCACGUUAUGGUGGGGACUCAUAGGAGACUGCCGGGGUCAACUCGGAGGAAGGUGAGGACGACGUCAAAUCAUCAUGCCCCUUAUGUCUUGGGCUUCACGCAUGCUACAAUGGCCGGUACAAUGGGUUGCGAUACUGUGAGGUGGAGCUAAUCCCAAAAAGCCGGUCUCAGUUCGGAUUGGGGUCUGCAACUCGACCCCAUGAAGUCGGAGUCGCUAGUAAUCGCAGAUCAGCAACGCUGCGGUGAAUACGUUCCCGGGCCUUGUACACACCGCCCGUCAAGUCACGAAAGUUGGUAACACCCGAAGCCGGU